Molecule: long non-coding RNA, 399 nt
Organism: Neofelis nebulosa (Clouded leopard)
Lineage: Eukaryota; Metazoa; Chordata; Mammalia; Carnivora; Felidae
Exons: 2
Source: RefSeq, a predicted model, not a curated record
CUUAGAUCUAAAAGGAAAGGCAGGAUUUUCACAUGCCAAACCAAGAACAAAGACUACAGUAUAUGAGUUCUUGGAGACAUGAGGGAUCUUUCAAGAGACAAUGCAAGUAUUGAUGAUGGGGAAGCAAAGAUGAAAUGCUUUAUGCUCAGCUCCACAAAUCCUGCCGUGGUUCGGUGCAACUGUGGGUUAUACACCAUGGAGCAGUAAGUAAAAUGUGGACCCAUGAACUGAGUAAAACUUUGGGGAAGAAUGAAGUCAAGAAGGGUUUGAAUACCUGGUCACUUCAAGGUGCUUGAAGGAAGAGGAGAGUUUGUAUGGAUCUAGGGAGAAAGAAGAAUAUUCCAGAAGAGGGAAAUGAUGUAAGGUGAAGUACUAAGAAUAAACACGAGCUGUGUCCUG